UUUUGGCUUAGUUAGGAGGCAGAAACUAAAUCUUUUGAUGCUUUCAAUUAAGGCCUUCUGAAAGAACUCUUUUUUGUUCUUCUUCAUCAAUUGUCCUUCAAGCAUCUUUUGGACACCC
Solanum tuberosum (potato) is the source of this 118-nucleotide non-coding RNA. NCBI's taxonomy places the organism in Eukaryota, Viridiplantae, Streptophyta, Magnoliopsida, Solanales, Solanaceae. The record is from Rfam.